UAGGGAAUCUUCGGCAAUGGACGAAAGUCUGACCGAGCAACGCCGCGUGAGUGAAGAAGGUUUUCGGAUCGUAAAACUCUGUUGGUAGAGAAGAACGUUGGUGAGAGUGGAAAGCUCAUCAAGUGACGGUAACUACCCAGAAAGGGACGGCUAACUACGUGCCAGCAGCCGCGGUAAUACGUAGGUCCCGAGCGGUGUCCGGAUUUAUUGGGCGUAAAGCGAGCGCAGGUGGUUUAUUAAGUCUGGUGUAAAAGGCAGUGGCUCAACCAUUGUAUGCAUUGGAAACUUGUAGACUUGAGUGCAGGAGAGGAGAGUGGAAUUCCAUGUGUAGCGGUGAAAUGCGUAGAUAUAUGGAGGAACACCGGUGGCGAAAGCGGCUCUCUGGCCUGUAACUGACACUGAGGCUCGAAAGCGUGGGGAGCAAACA
This 427-nucleotide ribosomal RNA is filed under the name uncultured bacterium. RNAcentral's name for it is "partial 16S ribosomal RNA". It matches the Rfam family "Bacterial small subunit ribosomal RNA", at positions 355 to 774 of the family's 1533-position model. The record is from RNAcentral.